UUUAUGGAGAGUUUGAUCCUGGCUCAGGAUGAACGCUGGCGGCGUGCCUAAUACAUGCAAGUCGAGCGAACGGACGAGAAGCUUGCUUCUCUGAUGUUAGCGGCGGACGGGUGAGUAACACGUGGAUAACCUACCUAUAAGACUGGGAUAACUUCGGGAAACCGGAGCUAAUACCGGAUAAUAUUUUGAACCGCAUGGUUCAAAAGUGAAAGACGGUCUUGCUGUCACUUAUAGAUGGAUCCGCGCUGCAUUAGCUAGUUGGUAAGGUAACGGCUUACCAAGGCAACGAUGCAUAGCCGACCUGAGAGGGUGAUCGGCCACACUGGAACUGAGACACGGUCCAGACUCCUACGGGAGGCAGCAGUAGGGAAUCUUCCGCAAUGGGCGAAAGCCUGACGGAGCAACGCCGCGUGAGUGAUGAAGGUCUUCGGAUCGUAAAACUCUGUUAUUAGGGAAGAACAUAUGUGUAAGUAACUGUGCACAUCUUGACGGUACCUAAUCAGAAAGCCACGGCUAACUACGUGCCAGCAGCCGCGGUAAUACGUAGGUGGCAAGCGUUAUCCGGAAUUAUUGGGCGUAAAGCGCGCGUAGGCGGUUUUUUAAGUCUGAUGUGAAAGCCCACGGCUCAACCGUGGAGGGUCAUUGGAAACUGGAAAACUUGAGUGCAGAAGAGGAAAGUGGAAUUCCAUGUGUAGCGGUGAAAUGCGCAGAGAUAUGGAGGAACACCAGUGGCGAAGGCGACUUUCUGGUCUGUAACUGACGCUGAUGUGCGAAAGCGUGGGGAUCAAACAGGAUUAGAUACCCUGGUAGUCCACGCCGUAAACGAUGAGUGCUAAGUGUUAGGGGGUUUCCGCCCCUUAGUGCUGCAGCUAACGCAUUAAGCACUCCGCCUGGGGAGUACGACCGCAAGGUUGAAACUCAAAGGAAUUGACGGGGACCCGCACAAGCGGUGGAGCAUGUGGUUUAAUUCGAAGCAACGCGAAGAACCUUACCAAAUCUUGACAUCCUUUGACAACUCUAGAGAUAGAGCUUUCCCCUUCGGGGGACAAAGUGACAGGUGGUGCAUGGUUGUCGUCAGCUCGUGUCGUGAGAUGUUGGGUUAAGUCCCGCAACGAGCGCAACCCUUAAGCUUAGUUGCCAUCAUUAAGUUGGGCACUCUAAGUUGACUGCCGGUGACAAACCGGAGGAAGGUGGGGAUGACGUCAAAUCAUCAUGCCCCUUAUGAUUUGGGCUACACACGUGCUACAAUGGACAAUACAAAGG
RNAcentral lists this ribosomal RNA (1263 nucleotides) under Staphylococcus aureus. RNAcentral describes it as "bacterial SSU rRNA". It matches the Rfam family "Bacterial small subunit ribosomal RNA", at positions 1 to 1245 of the family's 1533-position model. Lineage: Bacteria; Bacillati; Bacillota; Bacilli; Caryophanales; Staphylococcaceae. The record is from RNAcentral.